This 76-nucleotide transfer RNA is filed under the name Pseudomonas sp. RNAcentral describes it as "tRNA-Gly". It matches the Rfam family "tRNA". Rfam says of the family: Transfer RNA (tRNA) molecules are approximately 80 nucleotides in length. Their secondary structure includes four short double-helical elements and three loops (D, anti-codon, and T loops). Further hydrogen bonds mediate the characteristic L-shaped molecular structure. tRNAs have two regions of fundamental functional importance: the anti-codon, which is responsible for specific mRNA codon recognition, and the 3' end, to which the tRNAs corresponding amino acid is attached (by aminoacyl-tRNA synthetases). tRNAs cope with the degeneracy of the genetic code in two manners: having more than one tRNA (with a specific anti-codon) for a particular amino acid; and 'wobble' base-pairing, i.e. permitting non-standard base-pairing at the 3rd anti-codon position. RNAcentral also lists the same sequence under 1 other name. Lineage: Bacteria; Pseudomonadati; Pseudomonadota; Gammaproteobacteria; Pseudomonadales; Pseudomonadaceae. The record is from RNAcentral.
GCGGGAAUAGCUCAGUUGGUAGAGCACGACCUUGCCAAGGUCGGGGUCGCGAGUUCGAGUCUCGUAUCCCGCUCCA